Molecule: long non-coding RNA, 94 nt
Organism: Etheostoma spectabile (orangethroat darter)
Lineage: Eukaryota; Metazoa; Chordata; Actinopteri; Perciformes; Percidae
Exons: 3
Source: RefSeq, a predicted model, not a curated record
AGGUUUUACUUUGCAACGGCGACCUGGCCAAGAAAAAGCAUAAGCGUACAAGACAACAUACAGUUUCACUUACAAUAAGCGUUAAAAGUUGACA